CAAUAGCGUAUAUUAAAGUUGUUGCAGUUAAAAAGCUCGUAGUUGGAGUUCAGAGUGAGCUCAGCCGGUCCGCCUCAUGGGUGAGUACUGGUCGACUCUCUCUUGUUUGUGAAUCCCGCCCGGAGUUAAUUCUUCGGGAUGUGGAGUUCACAUCGUUUACCUUGAAAAAUUAGAGUGUUCAAAGCAGGCGUUUGCUUGAAUAUAUUAGCAUGGAAUAAUGGAAUAGGACCCUGGUUCUAUUUUGUUGGUUUUGAGAACCAGAGUAAUGAUUAAUAGGGAUAGUUGGGGGCAUUAGUAUUUAAUUGUCAGAGGUGGAAUUCUCAGAUUUGUUAAAGACUAACUUAUGCGAAAGCAUUUGCCAAGGAUGUUUUCAUUAAUCAAGAACGAAAGUUGGGGGAUCGAAGACGAUCAGAUACCAU
RNAcentral lists this ribosomal RNA (419 nucleotides) under uncultured eukaryote. Its description in RNAcentral is "bacterial SSU rRNA". It matches the Rfam family "Eukaryotic small subunit ribosomal RNA", at positions 592 to 1018 of the family's 1831-position model. The record is from RNAcentral.